GCCGGGCGUGGUGGCGUGCGCCUGUAGUCCCAGCUACUCAGGAGGCUGAGGCAGGAGAAUGGCUUGAACCCAGGAGGCAUAGGUUGCAGUGAGCCGAGAUCGUGCCACUGCACUCCAACCUGGGUGACAGAGCGAGACUGUCUCAA
Macaca fascicularis (crab-eating macaque) is the source of this 146-nucleotide unclassified non-coding RNA. It matches the Rfam family "Metazoan signal recognition particle RNA". From Rfam's summary of the family: The signal recognition particle (SRP) is a universally conserved ribonucleoprotein. It is involved in the co-translational targeting of proteins to membranes. Lineage: Eukaryota; Metazoa; Chordata; Mammalia; Primates; Cercopithecidae. The record is from Ensembl.